This 500-nucleotide ribosomal RNA is filed under the name uncultured bacterium. RNAcentral describes it as "partial 16S ribosomal RNA". It matches the Rfam family "Bacterial small subunit ribosomal RNA", at positions 30 to 523 of the family's 1533-position model. The record is from RNAcentral.
AUUGAACGCUGGCGGAAUGCUUUACACAUGCAAGUCGAACGGCAGCACGGACUUCGGUCUGGUGGCGAGUGGCGAACGGGUGAGUAACAUAUCGGAACGUGCCCAGUCGUGGGGGAUAACGUAGUGAAAAUUACGCUAAUACCGCAUACGAUCUAUGGAUGAAAGCGGGGGAUCGCAAGACCUCGCGCGAUCGGAGCGGCCGAUGUCAGAUUAGGUAGUUGGUGGGGUAAAGGCCCACCAAGACAACGAUCUGUAGCUGGUCUGAGAGGACGACCAGCCACACUGGAGCUGAGACACGGUCCAGACUCCUACGGGAGGCAGCAGUGGGGAAUUUUGGACAAUGGGCGAAAGCCUGAUCCAGCCAUUCCGCGUGCAGGAUGAAGGCCCUCGGGUUGUAAACUGCUUUUGUACAGAACGAAAAGGUUUCUACUAAUACUAGGAGCUCAUGACGGUACUGUAAGAAUAAGCACCGGCUAACUACGUGCCAGCAGCCGCGGUAA